Vigna radiata var. radiata (mung bean) is the source of this 484-nucleotide long non-coding RNA. RefSeq lists it as uncharacterized. NCBI's taxonomy places the organism in Eukaryota, Viridiplantae, Streptophyta, Magnoliopsida, Fabales, Fabaceae. The record is from RefSeq and is a predicted model, not a curated record. The transcript is spliced from 3 exons.
GUGAGAGGAAAAACAAGUGCUACCUUGAGAGAUUGCAAAGGCUUGUUGAGUGUAAGGUUGAAUACCCUUAACCCUACAAUUUUCAUAUGCUACCACCUUUUUCAAAGGGUGAAUGUCAAACACGAGCCAACAUUGUGGUGCGAUUUAACUUUCUGUUGGGAAUGCAAACUUUGUCUCAUUAGGUAUGAUAUAAGGUGUCAUGUCACCACAUUCUCAUUACUCGUUCCAUCAUCUUUUGUUUUCAUGUUUUGAGAGUGCUUGUGAGAAGUGAGAGCUUGAGGAAUCUCACAAAAAGGGUAGCCAACCAAUAUUCACCUACCAUCCUUAGAAGAACUUGUUCAGGCUUUCAUCCUUAUCUAUGGCAAAGGGAAGCAUUGUGUAGAGCUUGGACUUGGACUGGUCAUAACGUACUGGAAAAAUAGGGAAAAAUAUCAGUCUUCAAAUACCAAGAUGGGUCUAGAGUACCCUAAAGAGCAUUCCCAAG